UAUAGUGGCGCACGGGUGAGUAACACGUGAAUAAUCUACCUCCGAGUGGGGAAUAACCAAAAGAAAUUUUGGCUAAUACCGCAUAACACUUACGAGUUAAAGCAGCAAUGCGCUUGGAGAGGAGUUCGCGGCAGAUUAGUUAGUUGGCGGGGUAAUGGCCCACCAAGACGAUGAUCUGUAUCCGGCCUGAGAGGGCGCACGGACACACUGGAACUGAAACACGGUCCAG
RNAcentral lists this ribosomal RNA (229 nucleotides) under uncultured bacterium. RNAcentral describes it as "partial 16S ribosomal RNA". It matches the Rfam family "Bacterial small subunit ribosomal RNA", at positions 91 to 334 of the family's 1533-position model. The record is from RNAcentral.